UGGUGGAGUGAUUUGUCUGGUUAAUUCCGUUAACGAACGAGACCUCGACCUGCUAACUAGCUUGCGAUAUGGUCACAUGGGUAAGCUUCUUAGAGGGACUUUGGCAUUGAAGGCUACAGGAAGUUCGAGGCAAUAACA
Molecule: ribosomal RNA, 138 nt
Filed under: uncultured eukaryote
Lineage: Eukaryota
Description: partial 18S ribosomal RNA
Rfam family: Eukaryotic small subunit ribosomal RNA
Source: RNAcentral